Molecule: RNase P RNA, 297 nt
Filed under: Aggregatibacter sp. oral taxon 458 str. W10330
Lineage: Bacteria; Pseudomonadati; Pseudomonadota; Gammaproteobacteria; Pasteurellales; Pasteurellaceae
Description: RNA component of RNase P
Rfam family: Bacterial RNase P class A
About the family: Ribonuclease P (RNase P) is a ubiquitous endoribonuclease, found in archaea, bacteria and eukarya as well as chloroplasts and mitochondria. Its best characterised activity is the generation of mature 5'-ends of tRNAs by cleaving the 5'-leader elements of precursor-tRNAs.
Source: RNAcentral
GAGGAAAGUCCGGGCUACACAGGGCAGAGUGCCGGAUAACGUCCGGGAGGCGAGAGCCUACGACAAGUGCAGCAGAGAGCAAACCGCCGAUGGCCCGCAAGGGAUCAGGUAAGGGUGAAAGGGUGCGGUAAGAGCGCACCGGGCCGCCGGUAACGGUUGGCAGCAGGGUAAACUCCACUCGUAGCAAGACCAAAUAGGAAUCCAAUGAAUGGCCCGUUCAGGAUUCGGGUAGGUUGCUUGAGCGUAUGUGUAAAUAUGCGCCUAGAUGAAUGAUUGUCCACGACAGAACCCGGCUUA